This is a non-coding RNA of Vicia faba (fava bean), 162 nucleotides long. Lineage: Eukaryota; Viridiplantae; Streptophyta; Magnoliopsida; Fabales; Fabaceae. The record is from the annotation of a GenBank genome assembly.
AUGGAGGACAUGGAACUUCAAGAACGUAGAAGUGUCAGACACAGUGGUGGCGAAAGAUCAGAUAUGGAAGGAGAGGAAGGUUACGAGCAAGGUGAUGGCGGUUUGGUGCAUUUUGGGCCUCUUCCGCCGCCGGAGGUGAUUUCUGGUGCGGCGGAAUACUAA